Molecule: ribosomal RNA, 433 nt
Filed under: uncultured bacterium
Lineage: Bacteria
Description: partial 16S ribosomal RNA
Rfam family: Bacterial small subunit ribosomal RNA
Source: RNAcentral
AACGAACGCUGGCGGCAUGCCUAACACAUGCAAGUCGAACGAGACCUUCGGGUCUAGUGGCGCACGGGUGCGUAACGCGUGGGAACCUGCCCUUAGGUUCGGAAUAACUCCCCGAAAGGGGUGCUAAUACCGGAUAAUGUCUUCGGACCAAAGAUUUAUCGCCUUUGGAUGGGCCCGCGUUGGAUUAGCUAGUUGGUAGGGUAAAAGCCUACCAAGGCGACGAUCCCUAGCUGGUCUGAGAGGAUGAUCAGCCACACUGGGACUGAGACACGGCCCAGACUCCUACGGGAGGCAGCAGUGGGGAAUAUUGGACAAUGGGCGAAAGCCUGAUCCAGCAAUGCCGCGUGAGUGAUGAAGGCCUUAGGGUUGUAAAGCUCUUUUACCCGGGAUGAUAAUGACAGUACCGGGAGAAUAAGCCCCGGCUAACUCCGUG